RNAcentral lists this ribosomal RNA (250 nucleotides) under uncultured bacterium. Its description in RNAcentral is "partial 16S ribosomal RNA". It matches the Rfam family "Bacterial small subunit ribosomal RNA", at positions 524 to 773 of the family's 1533-position model. The record is from RNAcentral.
UACGAGGGGGGCAAGUGUUGUUCGGAAUCACUGGGCGUAAAGGGAGCGUAGGCGGACGUUUAAGUCGGGUGUUUAAAACCGGGGCCCAACCCCGGGGCGGCACCCGAAACUGGGCGUCUUGAAUGGGACAGAGGCUGGUGGAAUUGGGGGUGUAGCGGUGGAAUGCGUAGAGAUCCCCAAGAACACCGAUUGCGAAGGCAGCCAGCUGGGUCCACAUUGACGCUGAGGCUCGAAAGCAUGGGGAGCAAAC